Molecule: long non-coding RNA, 589 nt
Organism: Maniola jurtina (meadow brown)
Lineage: Eukaryota; Metazoa; Arthropoda; Insecta; Lepidoptera; Nymphalidae
Exons: 2
Source: RefSeq, a predicted model, not a curated record
AAUUCUAUGUCAAAGAAGACUUUUUUGAUGUUUCCAAGUAAGUAUUUUCAUAAUUUCGAUUGGAAAAUCUUUUCGGAUCGGAGUGAUUUAAAAUUUAUCAGAGUGAAAUUCCCUAAAAAAAGUAAAUAUAUAAAAAUACAUCAUCAAUCCGUAUAAAAUGUCUGGCGUGCCAACCUGUGGAGUCCCGUGCUGUGGCCAGGUGUGUGGGUGCAGCUACCCGGCGCCGUUCUGCGGCCCGUGUUGCGGCGUGUGCAUAGGACCAUGCGGCAAGCCCUUCGGCACCUAUAGCUGGCGUUUCAGACCGGCCUGCUGAUACACAAGCUGGAUAGUUUGAAGAUCCUAGUCUCAACUGAAAUCGUACUUUGCACAGACUAAGUUUCAGUUAAAAUGAGACAGAUUUGUGUCUUGCAUUUAAUAAAUAAUAAUUAGUCUGAGCAAAAUUCGCUCUCGGCUCUAGAUCUCAGUCGUGCAUAAUGUUUGUUCCUAAUGAUUCCUAGUGUUUUGAUUUUUGUUGAGAGAAAACUGUAUUGUCAGUACCAGGCAGCGAUGUGCAAUUUGAUUCAAUAAACUAUAUUUCAGUAUGAUUUCA